UACGUAGGGACCGAGCGUUGUCCGGAAUCAUUGGGCGUAAAGCGCGUGUAGGCGGCCAGGUAAGUCCGUUCUGAAAGCCCGGGGCUCAACCCCGGGAGGCGGAUGGAUACUGCUUGGCUCGAGUCCGGAAGAGGCGAGUGGAAUUCCCGGUGUAGCGGUGAAAUGCGCAGAUAUCGGGAGGAACACCAAUGGCGAAGGCAGCUCGCUGGGACGGUACUGACGCUGAGACGCGAAAGCGUGGGGAGCAAACAGG
RNAcentral lists this ribosomal RNA (253 nucleotides) under uncultured bacterium. Its description in RNAcentral is "partial 16S ribosomal RNA". It matches the Rfam family "Bacterial small subunit ribosomal RNA", at positions 524 to 776 of the family's 1533-position model. The record is from RNAcentral.